RNAcentral lists this transfer RNA (87 nucleotides) under Armillaria ostoyae. The record is from RNAcentral. Lineage: Eukaryota; Fungi; Basidiomycota; Agaricomycetes; Agaricales; Physalacriaceae.
UCUCUGGUAGUAUAUUGGUUAGUACAUGUGCAUGUCAUAAAGCCAAGUGUUUCGUGAGACAGCUGGGUUCGACUCCCAGCAAGAGAA